Molecule: unclassified non-coding RNA, 345 nt
Filed under: soil metagenome
Description: partial contains 5.8S ribosomal RNA, internal transcribed spacer 2, and large subunit ribosomal RNA
Rfam family: 5.8S ribosomal RNA (bases 1-120)
Source: RNAcentral
GAUGAAGAACGUAGCGAAAUGCGAUAAGAAAUGUGAAUUGCAGAAUUCCGUGAAUCAUCGAAUCUUUGAACGCACAUUGCGCCCUCUGGUAUUCCGGGGGGCAUGCCUGUCCGAGCGUCAUUUGCAACCCUCAAGCCCGGCUUGUGUGAUGGGUGCCGUCCCCUACGGGACGCGCCCCGAAGGCAAUGGCGGCGUCGCGGUUAUCCGAUCAGCCAAAGUGUAUGGGGCUUUGUCACUCACUUUACGGCCCGGACCGGCGCCAGUCCGAAUCAAUCUUUUUUCUAAAGUUGACCUCGGAUCAGGUAGGGAUACCCGCUGAACUUAAGCAUAUCAAUAAGCGGAGGA